CCAUGUCUCGUAAUUGGAAUGAGUAAACUUUAAAUCCCUUUACGAGUAUCGAUUGGAGGGCAAGUCUGGUGCCAGCAGCCGCGGUAAUUCCAGCUCCAAUAGCGUAUAUUAAAGUUGUUGCAGUUAAAAAGCUCGUAGUUGGAUUUGUGGUGUGUCCAGUCGGCCUUUGCUCUUUGAGUGAUUGUGCUGUACUGGUCUGCCAUGUUUGGGUGGAAUCUGUGUGGCAUUAGGUUGUCGCGCAGGGGAUGCCCAUCGUUUACUGUGAAAAAAUUAGAGUGUUCAAAGCAGGCUUAUGCCGUUGAAUAUAUUAGCAUGGAAUAAUAAUAUAGGACCUUGGUACUAUUUUGUUGGUUUGCGCACUAAGGUAAUGAUUAAGAGGGACAGUUGGGGGUAUUUGUAUUCCAUUGUCAGAGGUGAAAUUCUUGGAUUUUUGGAAGACAAACUACUGCGAAAGCAUUUACCAAGGAUGUUUUCAUUGAUCAAGAACGAAAGUUAGGGGAUCGAAGACGAUCAGAUACCGUCCUAGUCUUAACCAUAAACCAUGCCGACUAGAGAUUGGAGGUCGUUAAUUAUACGACCCCUUCAGCACCUUAUGAGAAAUCAAAGUCUU
RNAcentral lists this ribosomal RNA (610 nucleotides) under uncultured diatom. RNAcentral describes it as "bacterial SSU rRNA". It matches the Rfam family "Eukaryotic small subunit ribosomal RNA", at positions 496 to 1107 of the family's 1831-position model. The record is from RNAcentral. Lineage: Eukaryota; Bacillariophyta.